Long non-coding RNA from Xenopus laevis (African clawed frog), 704 nucleotides. RefSeq lists it as uncharacterized. The transcript has 3 exons. The record is from RefSeq and is a predicted model, not a curated record. Lineage: Eukaryota; Metazoa; Chordata; Amphibia; Anura; Pipidae.
UAUCCUCUAUAUGAAUUAUAAUAUAAAGUAUGUAUCAAACAUGGUUGAUGCAACUAGAAUUGUUAUGUUACAGAUAAUUAUUUAUCAUUUUUACAGUUCUUUCAGGCGAUCCGUUUAGAGUACGCAUAUUUUAUCUCAUAUGCUAUAUACUGAUUGGAGUUGGCUUAUUUAUAAUAUGUUUCGGCCUAUUUCACUGGAAAGUCUCACUUAAUUUGGACAAAAAGAUAGUUCUGUGGCUAAAGAAGUGUUGCGGGCGUGCUCCAAAGGCUGAGGAAGAACCUGACAUUGAAAAAGGAACGCACGCGGAGGCGACAGAAAGAAAAGGCAAAUGCUGUGAACCAUUUCAUGAAUGUUCCACAAAUAUCAAGGGACUUCUAAAACAAGUAGAACAUUUGGAGAAGUUGGAUAAUAUAAUUGAUAAAACACUAGAUCAUAAAUUAAAGCGAUAUUUGUGGUAAGACAUGCUCAGGAUGAGAUCUACAGAAGGCGCAGAGCACCAUAUUAUGGAAAGACUCCUCGUUCAAAAAAUCCAAGGACUCAAGCAUUUUCGGAUAACCGAUUCCAUUGCCUGCAAAUGCUGUCAACCAUUUCAUGAAUGUUACACAAAUAUCAAAGGACUUCUAAAACAAGUAGAACAUUUGGAGAAGUUGGAUAAUAUAAUUGAUAAAACACUAUAUUAUAAAUUAAAGCGAUAUUUGUGGUAA